GACGAACGCUGGCGGCGUGCUUAACACAUGCAAGUCGAACGGUAAGGCCCUUUCGGGGGUACACGAGUGGCGAACGGGUGAGUAACACGUGGGUGAUCUGCCCUGCACUUUGGGAUAAGCCUGGGAAACUGGGUCUAAUACCGGAUAGGACUACGCGAUGCAUGUCGUGUGGUGGAAAGCUUUUGCGGUGUGGGAUGGGCCCGCGGCCUAUCAGCUUGUUGGUGGGGUGAUGGCCUACCAAGGCGACGACGGGUAGCCGGCCUGAGAGGGUGUCCGGCCACACUGGGACUGAGAUACGGCCCAGACUCCUACGGGAGGCAGCAGUGGGGAAUAUUGCACAAUGGGCGCAAGCCUGAAGCAGCGACGCCGCGUGGGGGAUGACGGCCUUCGGGUUGUAAACCCCUUUCAGCACAGACGAAGCGUAAGUGACGGUAUGUGCAGAAGAAGCACCGGCCAACUACGUG
RNAcentral lists this ribosomal RNA (464 nucleotides) under uncultured bacterium. Its description in RNAcentral is "partial 16S ribosomal RNA". It matches the Rfam family "Bacterial small subunit ribosomal RNA", at positions 28 to 507 of the family's 1533-position model. The record is from RNAcentral.